RNAcentral lists this ribosomal RNA (425 nucleotides) under uncultured bacterium. RNAcentral's name for it is "bacterial SSU rRNA". It matches the Rfam family "Bacterial small subunit ribosomal RNA", at positions 358 to 773 of the family's 1533-position model. The record is from RNAcentral.
GGAAUUUUUCGCAAUGGGGGAAACCCUGACGAAGCAACGCCGCGUGGAGGAUGAAGGCCUUCGGGUUGUAAACUCCUGUCGACCGGGAAGAAAACUAUCUGACCCAAUACGUCAGGUAGCCGACUGUACCGGUGGAGGAAGCCACGGCUAACUCUGUGCCCGCAGCCGCGGUAAUACAGAGGUGGCAAGCGUUGUUCGGAAUUACUGGGCGUAAAGGGCGCGUAGGCGGUCUUUUAAGUCUUGUGUGAAAUCCCUCGGCUCAACUGAGGAACUGCACGGGAUACUGGAAGACUUGAGUUCGGGAGAGGGAAGCGGAAUUCCGGGUGUAGCGGUGAAAUGCGUAGAUAUCCGGAGGAACACCGGUGGCGAAGGCGGCUUCCUGGACCGAUCACUGACGCUGAGGCGCGAAAGCUAGGGGAGCAAAC